RNAcentral lists this ribosomal RNA (1181 nucleotides) under Unixenus corticolus. RNAcentral's name for it is "SSU rRNA". It matches the Rfam family "Eukaryotic small subunit ribosomal RNA", at positions 88 to 1266 of the family's 1831-position model. Lineage: Eukaryota; Metazoa; Arthropoda; Diplopoda; Polyxenida; Synxenidae. The record is from RNAcentral.
CGCGAAUGGCUCAUUAAAUCAGUUAUGGUUCAUUAGACGAGUUAAAUCCCACUUGGAUAACUGUGGUAAUUCUAGAGCUAAUACAUGACUCCAAGCUCUGACCGUUCAGGAAAGAGCGCUUUUAUUAGACCAAGACCAAUCGGACUUGUCCGUUUCCUUUGGUGACUCUGAAUAACCUUUUGAAGAUCGCACGGUCUCGAACUGGCGACGCGUCUUUCAAAUGUCUGCCUUAUCAACUGUCGAUGGUAGGUUAUGUGCCUACCAUGGUUGUAACGGGUAACGGAGAAUCAGGGUUCGACUCCGGAGAGGGAGCCUGAGAAACGGCUGCCACAUCCAAGGAAGGCAGCAGGCACGCAAAUUACCCACUCCCGGCACGGGGAGGUAGUGACGAAAAAUAACGAUGCGGGACUCUUCCGAGGCCCCGUAAUCGGAAUGAGUACACUUUAAAUCCUUUAACGAGGAUCAAUUGGAGGGCAAGUCUGGUGCCAGCAGCCGCGGUAAUUCCAGCUCCAAUAGCGUAUACUAAAGUUGUUGCGGCUAAAAAGCUCGUAGUUGGAUUUCAGUCGUAGGCCGGUGGUCCACCGCCCGGUGGCUACUGCCUGGCCUAGGCACCUUGCCGGCUCUCCUGCGAUGCUCUUGAUUGGGUGUCGUGGGUGGCCGGAACGUUUACUUUGAAAAAAUUAGAGUGCUCCAAGCAGGCGUUACGGCCUGAAUAACACAGCAUGGAAUAAUGGAACAGGACCUUGGUUCUGUUUUGUUGGUCUUCGGAAGCUAAGGUAAUGAUUAAUAGGGACGGACGGGGGCAUUCGUAUUGCGACGCUAGAGGUGAAAUUCUUGGACCGUCGCAAGACGAACUACUGCGAAAGCAUUUGCCAAGAACGCUUUCAUUAAUCAAGAACGAAAGUCAGAGGUUCGAAGGCGAUCAGAUACCGCCCUAGUUCUGACCAUAAACGAUGCCAACCAGCGAUCCGCCGGAGUUACUCCCAUGACUCGGCGGGCAGCUUCCGGGAAACCAAAGUGUUUGGGUUCCGGGGGAAGUAUGGUUGCAAAGCUGAAACUUAAAGGAAUUGACGGAAGGGCACCACCAGGAGUGGAGCCUGCGGCUUAAUUUGACUCAACACGGGACACCUCACCCGGCCCGGACACCGGAAGGAUUGACAGACUGAGAGCUCUUUCUUGAU